Neopsephotus bourkii (Bourke's parrot) is the source of this 711-nucleotide long non-coding RNA. RefSeq lists it as uncharacterized. Lineage: Eukaryota; Metazoa; Chordata; Aves; Psittaciformes; Psittacidae. The record is from RefSeq and is a predicted model, not a curated record. The transcript has 2 exons.
CUCAAGAACAACCAAAUUAAAGCAGUGAUCUUAUCUAUUAAAGGACUGUUUACACAUAUGCUUUUAAUGAUGUCUUCUGCUUUGAGAAAUCUUAAGGUCUUCUGUACUGCAAUCCCAGCUCCCAGCUCCCUUCCUCACGAAAAGCUUCUUGCUUAUUUCCUGCUGCAAAUAUAAUGGGGGAUUUUCUGGUCAUGGUAUCUGAUGUUCACAAUGCUUCAAAACACAGAUUUGGGUAUUAGCUCUGUACGAAACAAACCCAGGUAGUUUUGCAUUCCACUGAUACAUCAGUUUCUUUGGGCCUGCCCAGAUGCAGGACUGCUGUAUAUGUCAAUCAUUAAUUUUUAAAAACUAAAGCCCUUUAUUGUUGCUUCCAGGAGCUGUAGCUAAACGGGAUCCUACUGACCUUCCACAAAAAUUGAGCUGCUACAUACAAAGGUUAAAUUCCACCUAAUUUUAUUUUUAACCUUUAUCUUUCUCAGAUAUCUCCAGUUAGAGUCCACUCAGCACGGCAGCCUUCUGCAAACAUGCCAAGGCACUCCUUUUGUCUUGGCUCUAAAGAAAAAACACCACUUCAUGACUUGCCAAGGACAACUCUUCAGAAAUAUCUCCAUCUAUCUCCAGUGAAGCACGUUCUGCUUAUUGAAAAGUACGGCAGAAAGCAAUUCUUAAAUUGUCAUCUGAGGCUAACAUGCAAAAUCAAACAAAGAGAGA